Molecule: ribosomal RNA, 226 nt
Filed under: uncultured bacterium
Lineage: Bacteria
Description: partial 16S ribosomal RNA
Rfam family: Bacterial small subunit ribosomal RNA
Source: RNAcentral
AGUAACGCGUGAGGAACCUGCCUCAAAGAGGGGGACAACAGUUGGAAACGACUGCUAAUACCGCAUAAGCCCACGGCUCGGCAUCGAGCAGAGGGAAAAGGAGUGAUCCGCUUUGAGAUGGCCUCGCGUCCGAUUAGCUAGUUGGUGAGGUAACGGCCCACCAGGCGACGAUCGGUAGCCGGACUGAGAGGUUGAACGGCCACAUUGGGACUGAGACACGGCCCAG